Molecule: ribosomal RNA, 254 nt
Filed under: uncultured bacterium
Lineage: Bacteria
Description: partial 16S ribosomal RNA
Rfam family: Bacterial small subunit ribosomal RNA
Source: RNAcentral
CACGUAGGGGGCGAGCGUUGUCCGGAUUUAUUGGGCGUAAAGAGCUCGUAGGCGGCUCGGUAAGUCAGGUGUGAAACCUCCAGGCUCAACCUGGAGACGCCACCUGAUACUGCCGUGGCUAGAGUCCGGUAGAGGAGCGUAGAAUUCCUGGUGUAGCGGUGAAAUGCGCAGAUAUCAGGAGGAACACCGGUGGCGAAGGUGGUUCUCUGGGAAUGACCUGACGCUGAGGAGCGAAAGUGUGGGGAGCGAACAGG